Molecule: non-coding RNA, 417 nt
Organism: Cinara cedri
Lineage: Eukaryota; Metazoa; Arthropoda; Insecta; Hemiptera; Aphididae
Source: the annotation of a GenBank genome assembly
AUUUUAUUUUUUCUGUGGACAACAUUUCUACAAGUAAUUUUGCUUCGAUUUAUAAUGAUAGCAAUUUUUCUAAAAGGAAAUCUGACUGAGGUGAUAUUUUAGGGAGCUCAUUUUUUGAUUUUCCCAAUAAUUGAAAAAAAACCGGGAAAAAACUUAGGAAAAACAGGAAAAUAGGUACAAUAUUAAUCAAAUACUAUUAAAGAAAAUAUAGAAUGCAUAUGUAAUUAUUUUACCAUAAUAUGACGUAUAAUGUAUUGUUGAUAAAGCAGCACAAUCAACCGAAUUCCGCUGAGAAUCGCUUUUCAUUAACAAUGGUUAACCGUUACGUUCAGAUAUACAUUCAAUUUUCCCUCUACUUUCUUCCUAAGUUCUCACAUACACCAAUGGUACACCCACAUGUGAAGUAUGUCCAUCUUU